GGGUCAGUAGGUUGGUCGUGCCACCGGUACGUACUGGUCUCACUGAUUCCUCCUUCCUGAAGAACCGUAAUGCCAUUAAUUUGGUGUUGCGGGGAAACAGGACUGUUACUUUGAAAAGAUUAGAAUGUUUAAAGCAAGCUAACGCUUGAAUACAUUAGCAUGGAAUAAUGAAAUAGGACGAUCGAUCCUAUUUUGUUGGUUUCUAGGAUUGACGUA
This 216-nucleotide ribosomal RNA is filed under the name Glomeromycotina sp. RNAcentral describes it as "partial small subunit ribosomal RNA". The stretch from base 40 to 216 matches the Rfam family "Eukaryotic small subunit ribosomal RNA", at positions 686 to 864 of the family's 1831-position model. Lineage: Eukaryota; Fungi; Glomeromycota. The record is from RNAcentral.